Molecule: ribosomal RNA, 496 nt
Filed under: uncultured bacterium
Lineage: Bacteria
Description: partial 16S ribosomal RNA
Rfam family: Bacterial small subunit ribosomal RNA
Source: RNAcentral
AUGAACGCUGGCGGCGUGCCUAAUCCCUGCAAGUCGGGCGGACGGACGAGGAAGUUUGUUUUCUGGGGUGCGCGGGGGGGAGGGGAGUAUCACAUAGCUGAACGAACUGUAUAAUUGGGGUAAACUCAUUGAAACGUUAGUUAAAACCGCAAAUUUUUUGAAGCGGAAAGCUGGGGAGCGUAGGGCCGUCUGGUUGUCGAGUGGACGAGAAUCGGUAUCGCAUUAGCUAGUUGGUGAGGUAACGGCCUACCAAGGCGACGAUCAGUAGCGGAUCUGAGAGGAUGAUCCGCCACACUGGAACUGAGACACGGCCCAGACUCCUACGGGAGGCAGCAGUGGGGAAUCUUGGACAAUGGGCGCAAGCCUGAUCCAGCCAUGCCGCGUGUGUGAAGAAGGCCUUCGGGUUGUAAAGCACUUUUGUCAGGGAAGAAAAGGCUGGUGCUAAUACCGACAGCUGAUGACGGUACCUGAAGAGUAAGCACCGGCUAACUACGUG